This 29-nucleotide small RNA is filed under the name Bombyx mori (domestic silkworm). Its description in RNAcentral is "ovarian small RNA-3217". The record is from RNAcentral. Lineage: Eukaryota; Metazoa; Arthropoda; Insecta; Lepidoptera; Bombycidae.
UCACGGAGUUUCUGUGCUAACAGGUUAGC